Molecule: long non-coding RNA, 1036 nt
Filed under: Ananas comosus (pineapple)
Lineage: Eukaryota; Viridiplantae; Streptophyta; Magnoliopsida; Poales; Bromeliaceae
Description: long non-coding RNA (ACOM_LNC044228)
Source: RNAcentral
GCAAGUAUAUUACUUGAUUCUACUUUAUAUCAUUAACCAUUCUUUACUUGUAGCCGUUGUUUUCUUUAUUAGCUAUUAACGUUCAUUAGCUAUUCUUUAUUCUUUACUCUUUGUCUUAUUAUGCUCACUGGCGAUUCUUUCCUAAGGUUAUUUUACCUUAGCCAUCUAUGCCACUCGACUCGGUCUCGAGUCAAUCAACUGCGGAUAGUCCGCACUCUGUCCGGCUCAAGGUGAAGGACCUCUCACUUACACCUCAGCCUUCAGUCCACAAACAUCUCGCCAACGGGUCGCCCAGAGCUGCAUACACCCGUGGUCAGGGAUCUUUCUGGUGGGAAGGGGAUUAUGCCACAAACUCAACCCGCGGCCCAGGACCCCGGAUAGGGAAGGGGACAUGCCAUACUCAACCCUAGCGAAGCACGAUUCUGCCGACGGGAGGGGGAACCUGCCACACUCGACCCGCGGCCUCGAAUCAGCCUCAAGCUCAUCCUCGAAGUUCGUCCAGUGGGAGGGGAACCUGUCACACUCAACCCACUGCUCUAGAACUGUCGAGUUCACAAUCCUAAGAUUCCGGAAUCUAUUUCCCAAGCCUCUAGGGUAAUCUCAAACCCUAUGAUAUCGACCUAUCUAGGUCCAAUGCACUUUCUGUCCUAGGUCUAGCUGACUCUAGGUUUAAUGCCCUUUUUCACAUAACCUAUGUUCUUUAAACUAGGUUAAGCCUCUCUACCUAGAUCUUAUUAACUCUAGGUUCAACAACACUAAGUUCAUUGUCAACCUAGGUUUACCAACACUAGGUUCGAUAUCGAUUUACCUAGACCUUGAAUCUAGGUUCAUUAUGUUCAACCUAUGUUCACGACACUAGGUUAAUGCCACUCGAUCUAGCCUAGGUUCACGACACUAGGUUUAACAUCAUUCAUAUUCAUCCUAGGUUCUUGACCCUAGGUUCAUAUUCGACCUAUGUUAAUUACACUAGGUUCGGUGCCACUCUAUCUAGUUGUCCCUAAUUGUCCACAUCGAGUUUCUAUAAUUACAUAACCUC